CAGAAAAUAGUUUAUUUACAAAAUACUAAAUUUGGAAUUUAGAGAAAAAAAUUUUCUGA
RNAcentral lists this transfer RNA (59 nucleotides) under Ciconiphilus decimfasciatus. RNAcentral describes it as "tRNA-Pro". Lineage: Eukaryota; Metazoa; Arthropoda; Insecta; Psocodea; Menoponidae. The record is from RNAcentral.